This 253-nucleotide ribosomal RNA is filed under the name uncultured bacterium. RNAcentral's name for it is "partial 16S ribosomal RNA". It matches the Rfam family "Bacterial small subunit ribosomal RNA", at positions 524 to 776 of the family's 1533-position model. The record is from RNAcentral.
UACGUAGGUUGCAAGCGUUGUCCGGAAUUAUUGGGCGUAAAGGGCGUGUAGGUGGAUUCUUAAGUCGUGUGUCUAAGUGCGGAGCUCAACUCCGUAUAGGCGCAGGAAACUGGGAAUCUUGAGUGCAGGAGAGGAAAGUGGAAUUCCCAGUGUAGCGGUGAAAUGCGUAGAUAUUGGGAGGAACACCAGUGGCGAAGGCGACUUUCUGGACUGUGUCUGACACUGAGGCGCGAAAGCUAGGGGAGCGAACGGG